GAUGAACGCUGGCGGCGUGCCUAUUACAUGCAAGUCGAGCGAACGGACGAGAAGCUUGCUUCUCUGAUGUUAGCGGCGGACGGGUGAGUAACACGUGGAUAACCUACCUAUAAGACUGGGAUAACUUCGGGAAACCGUAGCUAAUACCGGAUAAUAUUUUGAACCGCAUGGUUCAAAAGAGAAAGACGGUCUUGCUGUCACUUAUAGAUGGAUCCGCGCUGCAUUAGCUAGUUGGUAAGGUAACGGCUUACCAAGGCAACGAUGCAUAGCCGACCUGAGAGGGUGAUCGGCCACACUGGAACUGAGACACGGUCCAGACUCCUACGGGAGGCAGCAGUAGGGAAUCUUCCGCAAUGGGCGAAAGCCUGACGGAGCAACGCCGCGUGAGUGAUGAAGGUCUUCGGAUCGUAAAACUCUGUUAUUAGGGAAGAACAUAUGUGUAAGUAACUGUGCACAUCUUGACGGUACCUAAUCAGAAAGCCACGGCUAACUACGUG
RNAcentral lists this ribosomal RNA (497 nucleotides) under uncultured bacterium. RNAcentral's name for it is "partial 16S ribosomal RNA". It matches the Rfam family "Bacterial small subunit ribosomal RNA", at positions 28 to 507 of the family's 1533-position model. The record is from RNAcentral.